Molecule: ribosomal RNA, 465 nt
Filed under: uncultured Klebsiella sp.
Lineage: Bacteria; Pseudomonadati; Pseudomonadota; Gammaproteobacteria; Enterobacterales; Enterobacteriaceae
Description: bacterial SSU rRNA
Rfam family: Bacterial small subunit ribosomal RNA
Source: RNAcentral
CCUACGGGGGGCUGCAGUGGGGAAUAUUGCACAAUGGGCGCAAGCCUGAUGCAGCCACGCCGCGUGUGUGAAGAAGGCCUUCGGGUUGUAAAGCACUUUCAGCGGGGAGGAAGGCGUUAAGGUUAAUAACCUUGUCGAUUGACGUUACCCGCAGAAGAAGCACCGGCUAACUCCGUGCCAGCAGCCGCGGUAAUACGGAGGGUGCAAGCGUUAAUCGGAAUUACUGGGCGUAAAGCGCACGCAGGCGGUCUGUCAAGUCGGAUGUGAAAUCCCCGGGCUCAACCUGGGAACUGCAUUCGAAACUGGCAGGCUAGAGUCUUGUAGAGGGGGGUAGAAUUCCAGGUGUAGCGGUGAAAUGCGUAGAGAUCUGGAGGAAUACCGGUGGCGAAGGCGGCCCCCUGGACAAAGACUGACGCUCAGGUGCGAAAGCGUGGGGAGCAAACAGGAUUAGAUACCCGUGUAGUC